This 498-nucleotide ribosomal RNA is filed under the name uncultured bacterium. Its description in RNAcentral is "bacterial SSU rRNA". It matches the Rfam family "Bacterial small subunit ribosomal RNA", at positions 903 to 1397 of the family's 1533-position model. The record is from RNAcentral.
AAAGGAAUAGACGGGGGCUCACACAAGCGGAGGAGCAUGUUGUUCAAUUCGAAGCAACGCGAAGAACCUUACCUGGGCUUGACAUGCAUUUAGUAGGAACCCGAAAGGGGGACGACCCGUAAAAUCGGGAGUUUGCACAGGUGCUGCAUGGCUGUCGUCAGCUCGUGUCGUGAGACGUUAGGUUAAGUCCUGUAACGAGCGAAACCCUUGUCGCCUGUUGCCACCAUUAAGUUGGGUACUCUGGCGAGACUGCUUUUGUUAAAACUGAGGAAGGUGGGGACGACGUCAAGUCAUCAUGGCCCUUACGCCCAGGGCCACAAACGUGCUACAAUGGCGGGUACAGAGAGUCGCAAAGCCGCGAGGCGGAGCAAAUCUUCAAAGCCCGCCCCAGUUCGGAUUGGAGGCUGCAAUUCGCCUCCAUGAAGUUGGAUUCGCUAGUAAUCGCGGAUCAGCCACGCCGCGGUGAAUACGUUCCUGAGCCUUGUACACACCGCCCGU